GACGGAGGGUGCAAACGUUGCUCGGAAUCACUGGGCAUAAAGCGCACGUAGGCGGUUGCCUAAGUUGGAUGUGAAAUCCCGUGGCUCAACCAUGGAACUGCAUCCGAUACUGGGCGACUCGAGGAAGGUUGGGGUGAGUGGAACUCCAGGUGGAGCGGUGAAAUGCGUAGAUAUCUGGAGGAACACCGGUGGCGAAAGCGGCUCACUGGACCUUUACUGACGCUGAGGUGCGAAAGCUAGGGGAGCAAACGGGAUUAGAUACCCCGGUAGUCCUAGCUGUAAACGAUGGGCACUAGGUAAGGGGCCUCCUAUGGGCUCCUUGCCGUAGCUAAUGUGUUAAGUGCCCCGCCUGGGGAGUACGCUCGCAAGGGUA
RNAcentral lists this ribosomal RNA (373 nucleotides) under uncultured bacterium. Its description in RNAcentral is "bacterial SSU rRNA". It matches the Rfam family "Bacterial small subunit ribosomal RNA", at positions 524 to 896 of the family's 1533-position model. The record is from RNAcentral.